RNAcentral lists this ribosomal RNA (467 nucleotides) under uncultured bacterium. RNAcentral's name for it is "partial 16S ribosomal RNA". The stretch from base 55 to 467 matches the Rfam family "Bacterial small subunit ribosomal RNA", at positions 39 to 506 of the family's 1533-position model. The record is from RNAcentral.
GGGGGGGGGGGGGGGGGGGGGGGGGGGGGGGGGGGGGGGGGGGGGGGCCCGGGGGUGGUGGGGGGCGCGGGUGGCGGAGGGGUGAGUAAGACGGGCGUGGCCUGCGCUUGACGUUGGGCUGACUUCAGGACGCUGGGGGUAAUGCCGGGUCGGCGGUCCGGUUGCAUGGUGGGGCGUGGCACGGUUCGGCGGUUGGCGAUGUACUCGCGGCGUAUCAGCUUGCUGGUGGGGUAGUGGCUUACCAACGCCUUGACGCGUAGCCGGCCUGAGAGGGUGACCGGCCACAUUGGGACUGCGAUACGGCACAGACUCCUACGGGAGGCAGCAGUGGGGAAUAUUGCACAAUGGGCGGAAGCCUGAGGCAGCAACGCCGCGUGCGGGAUGACGGCCUUCGGGUUGGAAACCGCUUUCGCCUGUGACGAAGCGUGAGUGACGGGAAUGGGGAAAGAAGCACCGGCUAACUACGU